UUAGAAGUUUUAUAGGGUUCCGCAGUUUUAAACUAAGAACUGGUCUGGUCCGAGAUAAAGCAUAUAGUUUGACUGUAUACACGGAGGGAUAAAAGCCCGGGAGAU
RNAcentral lists this small RNA (105 nucleotides) under Clostridium tyrobutyricum. Its description in RNAcentral is "Guanidine-I sequence". It matches the Rfam family "Guanidine-I riboswitch aptamer". Rfam says of the family: This family represents a conserved RNA structure found upstream of the ykkC and yxkD genes in Bacillus subtilis and related genes in other bacteria. The function of this family is unclear although it has been suggested that it may function to switch on efflux pumps and detoxification systems in response to harmful environmental molecules. Lineage: Bacteria; Bacillati; Bacillota; Clostridia; Eubacteriales; Clostridiaceae. RNAcentral also lists the same sequence under 1 other name. The record is from RNAcentral.